CAAGGGCGCCGCGAGCGAGGCCGGCCGCGCCAUGCACCUGAUGAAGAAGCGGGAGAAGCAGCGCGAGCAGAUGGAGCAGAUGAAGCAGCGCAUCGCGGAGAGAACAUCAUGAAAUCCAACAUUGACAAGAAGUUCUCUGCGCACUACGACGCGGUGGAGGCAGAGCUCAAGUCCAGCACCGUGGUCUCGUGACCCUGAAUGACAUGAAGGCCAAGCAGGAGGCUCUGGUGAAGGAGCGGGAGAAGCAGCUGGCCAAGAAGGAGCAGUCCAAGGAGCUGCAGAUAAGCUGGAGAAGCUUCGAGAGAAGGAGCGUAAGAAGGAAGCCAAGCGGAAGAUCUCCAGCCUGUCCUUCACCCUGGAGGAGGAAGAAGAGGGAGGCGAGGAGGAAGAGGAGGCGGCCAUGUAUGAGGAGGAGAUGGAAAGGGAAGGAUCACCACGAAGAAGAGAAAACUGGGGAAGAACCCAGACGUUGACACAAGCUUCUUGCCUGAUCGAGACCGUGAGGUAAAGGCUGCCUGGCCCUGACCCC
RNAcentral lists this long non-coding RNA (529 nucleotides) under Homo sapiens (human). RNAcentral describes it as "long non-coding RNA NONHSAT139180.2". The record is from RNAcentral. Lineage: Eukaryota; Metazoa; Chordata; Mammalia; Primates; Hominidae.